AGCUAAUACUUGCUUUAGCACUCUUGAUUAAGUUCUUGAGUGUGUACUUGUUAAGCCUUUUAAGAAAAAAGUUAUUAGCUUAAGGAAUUAUAACAAAGAAGUAACACGUAAAUGGAUUUUCCAUUUUUUAGCGUGUAUCAAUCGGGUUUCUGACCUAUCAGCUUUUGAUGUUAGGGUACUGGCCUAACAUGGCUAUGACGGGUAACGGGGAAUUAGAGUUCGAUUCCGGAGAGGGAGCCUGAGAAAUAGCUACCACAUCUAAGGAAGGCAGCAGGCGCGUAAAUUACCCAAUUCUAAAGAAGAGAGGUAGUGACAAGAAAUAACAAUACAAGGCCAAUCUGGCUUUGUAAUUGGAAUGAUGGGAAUUUAAAACCUUCCCAAAACUCAAUUGGAGGGCAAGUCUGGUGCCAGCAGCCGCGGUAAUUCCAGCUCCAAUAGCGUAUAUUAAAAUUGUUGCAGUUAAAACGCUCGUAGUUGAAUUUCAAAGAAUCGAUAUUUUAAGUAACGCUUUGUAGAUUAAUCCACAUAACUGAUACUACGUAUCGACUUUGUGCGCAUUUUUCUACUUAUGUGUUCUUUUAAUUAAAAUGAUUCUUUUUAAGAUCAUUCUUUUUUGCUUCGGCAUUUUAGGAGAUCUUGUUACUUUGAGUAAAUUAGAGUGUUCAAAGCAAACAGAUUAUAGCAUCUUUAUGCGUUUGAAUACUACAGCAUGGAAUAACAAAAUUGAACAAGUCAGAAUUUUGUUCUUUUUUCUUAUUUUGGCUUAGUUACGAUUAAUAGGAGUAGCUUGGGGGCAUUUGUAUUCAGAUGUCAGAGGUGAAAUUCUUAGAUUUUCUGGAGACAAACAACUGCGAAAGCAUUUGCCUAAAAUACUUCCAUUAAUCAAGAACGAAAGUUAAGGGAGUGAAGACGAUCAGAUACCGUCGUAAUCUUAACCAUAAACUAUGCCGACUAGGCUUUGGAUGAAAGAUUUUAAAAUAAGAGAUUUUCUCUUCGGAGUUAAUCUCUUAGAUUGCUUCCUUCAGUGCCUUAUGAGAAAUCAAAGUCUUUGGGUUCUGGGGCGAGUAUUCGCGCAAGCGAGAAAGUUAAAAGAAUUGACGGAAGGGCACCACCAGGCGUGGAGCUUGCGGCUUAAUUUGACUCAACACGGGAAAACUCACUAGUUUAAGACAAGAGUAGGAUUGACAGAUUAAUAGCUCUUUCUUGAUUUCUUGGAUGGUGAUGCAUGGCCGUUUUUAGUUCGUGAAUAUGAUUUGUCUGGUUAAUUCCGAUAACGAACGAGAUCUUAACCUGCUAAUUAGCGGCAAAUACGAUAUAUUCUUAUGUGGAAUUGAAUAUAGUUGAUUUGCUUAUUUUGAAGAAAAUAUUGGGAUACGUAAAUGUAUCCCUUUCCCUUUUCUACUUAAUUUGCUUAUCAUACUAUUUCUUUUUUGCGUAAGAAUGUAUUUGCUUGAUUGUAAAGCUUCUUAGAGGAACGAUGUGUGUCUAACACAAG
RNAcentral lists this ribosomal RNA (1495 nucleotides) under Plasmodium sp. RNAcentral describes it as "SSU rRNA". It matches the Rfam family "Eukaryotic small subunit ribosomal RNA", at positions 162 to 1439 of the family's 1831-position model. Lineage: Eukaryota; Apicomplexa; Aconoidasida; Haemosporida; Plasmodiidae. The record is from RNAcentral.